AUUAAUGAAGGGCUCAUGAGUUGAGAUGAGGACUGGGAGAAAAUACUCUAAGGGAAAAACAGGUUGAAAAUUAAAAGUAUAAAGUAAAUUUAUUGUUAACAGAGUUAAAGGAGGAUAAUGAAAAGUAAAAUACACCUUUUAAAGCAUCUUUUUUUCCCCAGCCCCUCCCUCCUUCCCAUUGACAGUACAGGGAGAGACAGGGUGUGGGGGUUUUGGUCAGUUUGUCACUGGACAUCAACUUCUGUUUGCUCAGGGAGAGGAGUAUUCCCUCUGCUGUGCUGGGGGGUCCCUCCCAUGGGAGACAGUUCUCUGUAAAUUUCUGUAAUGUGUCUCUAAUCUCAGAGCAGCAGUCUUGCCAAAACUGCUGCCACAUGAGUGCAUCCCAUGGGCAAACAGUCUUCCCAAAACUGCUGUGAUGUGGGUCACUUGUCCAUGGGGUGCAGUCCUCUAAGAAUAGGCUGCUCUAGUUGGGAAACAAGGGCUCUCUAUCUCUGGAAGCAGGAGCCCUCUCUCUCUCCAUUCAGGUCUCCCACUAGAUCACAUCUUUCUCUGGCAUCCAGCUGUUAAGAGUGUGAGCACUUCUCCCAUAGGCUGUGAGUGGAUCUCUGCAUCCUCCAUGGACUUCAUGGGCUGCAGGGUGACAGCUGCUUCACCAUAGUCCUCACCAUGGCCUGCAGAGGAAUCUCAGCUCUGGUGCUUGGAGCACCUCCUCUCCCUUUUUCCACUGACCUUGGUGCCACCAUGUUGUUCUCCCUCACGUGUCCUCACUUCCUCCUCUUCUUUGACUAGAAGAAAAACUUUUGCCUGUACUAUUGCUAACAAGUUCCUCCAAUUCAAAGAUUGUCCAAGAUCCCACAGCACUGAGAGGUUGAUCUUGUCUAGGUUCUGUGCCAGACAAUCACUCUCUGUGUUUCCACUGUUGGCCCCGCGGCGCUGAGCGGGCAGUGGUGGUGGGGCUGGGGCUGGAGCUGGAGCUGUUCAACACCUCUCAUCAGGCAGAGCCGGGAAGGAGAGGCCACCGCCAGCCCUGCCCUGCUGCCCUGGCACGGCUGGCUGGGGGUGGCCAGGCAGGCAAGGCUCGCUGCAGGCCGUGCUGAGAUGGCAGUGGCUGCAGCACAUCAUUGUGUGCUGCACUGGGAUAGCCCUGGUGGUGGCACCUCACCACCCCUGGAAAAUUAACUGUCCGUGUGCUGUUUUGAUUUUCUUCUUAAAUAGGUCAUCACAGAAGCAUUACCAACCUCUUAAGUGGGCCAGCAGCAUUUUCAUCUUCAGAGCCAUCAGAAAUUGGCUCUGUUGGACAUGGUGAAUGCUUCUAGCAUCUUCUCACAAAACCACUUCUGUGGCCCUUCCCCCCUACCAGAAAACCAGUCUGUGCCAAAUGGCACCAUGCAACGGGGCCUCCAUGAGCACUGGUCUAGGGGCUUUCUCCACAGCCAUGGAUUUAAGGGGUUUCAGCAGCAGUGCUGGCUGGCUGAGCCCAGGCAGCUGGAAGUGCUGCAUAAAUCUGUUAGCAACUAUGCAGCCAUGCCCAGAGCCUCAUGCACUUUGAGUCCAGAAUUACCAUAUUGUUGCUGUUUGGGCCUUGUUAUGGUGCUGUUGGGGUCUGUAAAACUUACCUUUUGCAAUUGUGCAGCACUUAGACGUGGAUUUUCCUUUCAGUGUAAUGCGACUAAAGACAUGGAAACAUGAGUCACUGUUGUAUCACAGUUGCUCACAUCCAAGAAACGGAAGAACAUUUUAUAAUAGCAGGAAGGAUAAGAAUGUAGGCAUGAAACUAAACAUUGGUUUUGCAGAGGAACGUUGUCAGCUGGCUUCUCCUUAGCCACUCUGGACAUGGAAGUCUCAUGCUGUCUGGCUUUUGCUUCAACUCCUGAAGCUUCAAGGUUGACAAAACCCAUGCUGAGCCCUGACUGGAUUAGGUGGACAAGCACAGCCUCCCCCUCGCCUGUGGGCAGAGAGAGGAUGCCCAACAGCACUGCCAGGGACCUGAGUUUAUUGGUUUCACCAUCGCUGUUUCAGCCCAGACAGAACACUUCAUGCAGAUCUGCAGUGACACAUAUUCAGUCCAGUAGUGUCAGAUGUCUCUUCCCCCAGUUGCUCUCUGUAUCCAGGCUUUUUUGCUGUGGUUUUCCUGCAUUGAUGAGUGGCUUCUUUGUUUUGCAUUGUCGUAAUAAUUUUCCUAGAGCCAUGAUUAAUUUAGAAUGGGUACCUGGGCCUGCUGCUAAGUUCUCUGAUGCUUGUUUUCUAUUGCUGCCGGGGUGUGUAGUGCAUUUCUUGGCAGGAUGAUUUCCAAGCUGCCUAAUGCUGAGGCUAAUGCAGAGAGCAGCUGAAUAAAAACUAAAUAACAUAAAAAUAAACAAACAAAUAUGUGAAGAGGAGGAAAAGGAAGAAAAAAGAUGUGGUGGAUGGAAGAAGAGCAUAAGCUAGAGAAGAUUUACCAUCAUGUAAUAGUACUAUGUUGGAGCAAAAAGGGAUCAAUCAAAUGACACAAUGGUAUGUUGCAUUUAAUUAUAUACCCUAAUAGAGCCAAGCAUUAAAAGUAUAAAGUGGUGGUUCUAUUAGCCAAACCCGUGCUUCUCAGAGUUGAAGGGUUAUGUGUUUGAGCAGACAUCUCUUACUGGGAUUUUUCUUCCUCAACUGUGAAAUCCCACAGUACUGGACAGAAAGCAACACACACCUGCGUGCAGUAGGUCCCUUUAGCAGUCUGCUGUUCCUCCACACCCCACUUUGUAAGCUGUUUAAUUAGAUGUGCAGUUGUGAUAAAUGGAAGGAGAAUUUACUGGUAUGCCCCCAGAAGUCAGUAAAAUCACAAUAGGUUUACAGGGCUAGCUAAGCAGGAUGCAGUCCACCUUUCCCAUAUGCAGUCUGGAGUAGUAAGAAGAGAUUUACCUGGCUUCUCAAGCAGCUUCUGUUUCCUUCAAUAUAUAGAAGCUGCACAGGUUUCACAUAAGCACAGAUAGAUCAUGUCUCCUGUUAUCUUUUUUCCCAGCUGAAAACUCAACCAUCCCUCUUUCCUAUUUGACAUUGCACUGCUCUGCAUCCUUUUUUGUCACGCAGACUGUGAUUUUCUUUUGCUGUUUUUGUAUGUGUGGCAGACUUAGACCAAAGGAAAAAAAAAAAAAAAAAAAAAUUGCCUUCUCUUCUCCUGGAGCAGCCUGUGCAAAAAAAGCUUCCUGAGCAUCCCAGAGAUGACAUCUUUAAUGUGUAAAGCAUUCAAAAAUCAGUGUAUUCCAAGGGUCUGCUCAGUAACGGCAGUGUUUGUUCUGUUCAGUCAAGUUAGCUGGCAACAGGCAGCAAAAUUAAUGGUAAGGCCACACUGCAUAACUUUUCUCAAGUACUUUUCUACAGCUGGAAAAUACCACCAUACAUGGGUGAGACAUGUUCAAGAUGCACUGUCUGUUCACUGCCAGGGCUCUUGAUCAAGAUUUGGGUACCAAAACAAUGGCCAGCACAGACAUCCACUGCAGUAAUUAUCAAAUUUGAUGCUCUUUUCAAACAGAGUGUUCUUUCAAUCUCAUUCUUGGCUCUAAUAGCUGUGCAGGUUAAAUUACUUUUUAAGGGUUGUGACUAUUGUUUUGCAAAUAAAUUUUGGCAGUAGAAUACCAUGUAAUAACAGACUUUUUUAAUGCCAGUGGGUUUAAUCAAUAAAUAAGUGUUUAGUUUUACUGCAGGUGGAGGCAAUCUAAGUCACCUCUAGGGAAAGACAAGCAGGCAUUUAAAAUAAACCUCUUGGCAUGUUAAUUACCUUAAAUCAAGUUCUGAGCUUAUCCUAAAGCAUUAGGAUGUGACUGAUAAAAUCCAAAUGCCAUCAUGCAUUUGUAAACCCUGAGCCACCCCCGAUAGUGAUACAACAGUGUACUUGGAAAAAAUCCCUGUUUAGAAGGACAAAAAGGAGGAUCUGUAUCUGCAGGUAAUCCAUGAGAUCAGGAGAUGGUACCAAAGACUGAUCUAAAGUUUCUGUUUCAGAUAGAAGCUCAGCUUCUUUUUCAAGGAUGUCAAAGCACAUACAUCUGUCACUGCUGUUUUCUAGGACUUCAGGCAGCUAAAGCAUGCUUCAGCUAUUUAGGCUCUCCACAAAUCAUGGUUUCAUCUUCCACACUGAUAGUUAAUGGUAUGUUCCUAUUCUCUGUGAGAGACCAGGCAUGGAAGUUGGACUCAGUAUAUGUCAUGCUGAGGCUACACAGAGCAACAAAAUUAUACCUUUUGUCUUUCCCUCAACACUCUUCCUGCUGCUUCCCAAAAGUUUUGUUGGCUUUUUUUGGCUGCAGAUGCACACUGGGCAUGCAGCUGUUAACAGCAACUUCAGGCCUCUUUCCUGCACCAUGAUGGCCACUUCCAUCAUCAGCAUCAGAGCUUUGGUUUGGUUUAUUUUCCUCUACGUGUGUAUCUACGCUUAUCUAUACUGAAACACCUAUGCCAAGUGUGCCUUUUGUUCAGUUUUGUGAGAUCCUGCAGGAUGUUGUCAUUGGCAUGGCAUUUUGUCCUGAGGAGGUCAGGAAUACUUGUAGACCUGGACAUUCUGUGCACUGUCUUUUCUGCAGGUUGUGAAUGAAGAUGUUGAAUAAAACCAGUCUCAGCAACACUCACUGCUGCCUCCUCUCCACCAUCAAAGCCCUUUCAUUUGCCUCCCAGCCCUUAAUCUACUCUCAGUUCAAAAAUGAACUUUUCCUUCAAAUACUUGGCUUGGUUUCUUAAUUGAUAACCAAGGAGAAAAUAAAAUCCGAGGAUUCUGAAGAAGAACUGUUAAAAUCUUAGGUUAGCUUCUCACUUUUAUAGUCUUUAUUUCUUUCUAAUACAGAACAGACCUCCCAAAAUUCACAGCUGCAGUUCUGAUUGCAGAAGAGGUAAUCCAGAAGAUACACAACUGCCAUGAGUUAACCUUGCAGUAAUUUUUUAAAAGUACCACAUUAUCACAGAGAGUGUAGGUUGGCUUUUGACAGCAUCCCUUUGUUUUCAUUCUAGAAAACCCAAAUGGAUCAGUUGCCAGGGAGGAGAGUAGUGUCACAGAGUUUGCAUCCAUUUGCCAGGUAAAAUAUUAAUCACUGUGGGACAUGAUGCCUAAAUGACAAGGCCAUAGCUGGGAAAGAAAGCAGGACAGCACCCUUGGGUUUUACAGAUGCAGCAGAUAAGGGUAUGUUUAGAUUUUCCUUCACUUAACAAUAACAAAACAGGACAGAACUUCUGUGCAUUUAAAGGAUUAAACGCCCUGAGUGAUUUUAAGAGGUCACGAUACAGCAACACUUCUGCUUUGAACUGGCAAGAAAAAAGAGCUGCAGUGCUGCUACAAGUUCCGUGCUGCUGCGAAGGUGUCUGCCUUGAGUUGUGUGAGUGGGACAGGCCUCCCUGCCUGCAGGAGCCCCAGUGCAGAUGCUUCUGCCUGUCCAGCAAAUAACUGCUUUGGGUGAUGGACAUUUGCUCUCAGGCCCACAUGUAUGGUCCUGGCUGUCUCUGUUGCAAUCUUGUUGGGCUGGCAAGAGCUACGCACAUGCGGCAGCCUGAUGCAGGAAGUGGCUCUGUGGGCAGCAGGAUCCACAUCUCUCACACGGACUUUGCAGAAAGCACUGCUCUGGCAAAAGAGCAAUAUUUUUGGUGAGGUAUGGAAGAGUGGCUGUGAACCAUGUGAAGAUACAGUGAGAAAUCCAGCAGAGUUUGCUGUCAGCAUACUUUUAGAGGACUGAUAUUUUGGCAAAGAGCCAGCCCCCCUCCUCUGUUUACCUAAUGUCCUCCUGCACUUCCACUUAAAUAGGAGCUUAUUUCCUGUACUAAACUACAGUGCAUCUUGUGGUUAGUUAUUAACUCGCUUCUGUGUUUGAAAAAGGCCUUUAUUGCAGCAGAAGGGGAUUCUUUUGUAAUCCUCCCUCAGUUCGGGGCAGCUGUGCAAUCUGCCCAUGACACAUCCUCAGCACAGCACAAACACAGUCCUGGUAUUUUCAGGGCAUUGUCAUCAGACUGAAUGAGUCACACAGCCUGGAGAUGAGAAGUUUCUUCAGGAAUCUUGCUGCACCCCCCUGGGAAAAUUCAUCACUGGGUAUCUGAAGAUAGGAGCUUACUUUUGCACCCAUUUGGCUCCUAAUCUUUAGGGCUGUACAGUAAUGACUGAUAAGAAGGGGAUAUUCAGGAGGAAGAAAUGUUUUCUGCCCAGCCUUGUUACUUCAGGAAGGAUCUUGCUGAGUUGUAACCCCUGCCUGCAGCACCUUAUCCAAUUAAGUGUGUAAAACAAACUGUUCCAUGAACAAUGAACUAAGAAACUCAGUUUCAACAGGUUUAUGUUUUGCUCUUUUCUCUCACUCUUCAAGUUUUAAUUCUCCCCGUGACCUUCCUUCUCUUUUGAUACUCUAAUUUCCCCAGUAAAUCCAUUAAACUGCCAUCACAUCCCAACCACCUGCCACAUCUCCACAUCUCCCAGGUGUGGGAUGGGGAAGAGGUGGUAAAUAGCCAAGCUCAUCAUAUCGAGGUUUCUCUGAUGUCAAUGCCAAUUCUUGAAUAUGCAUUGGGCCAUUUUAUAAAACCUGGGAAAACAACCUAUAUCUACUAAAAUUAAUUUUCCUGUCUCUGGCCUUUUUUUCCUGUUCCUGUCCUACUAAUGCUAAAACAGAACUUGCUACCGGCAGAUAUCACAGCAAAAUGCAGAUUUAAUACUUACAGAGAUCUGCUCAUUUUAUAAGGGAUAGAAACAGCAAAAAGAAAAGGCAGUAAUUACAGGCUGCUAAAUGGAGCUGAUAUGAGCCCUAGUGAAGUGUUAAUGAAACCUCCUAGCCAAGCUUUGGGGUUCUGAGAGUGAAUGCAGGGCCAUGCAUACCUUCCUCUGUCCAUGGGGAGGUAAAAUUCAAUUUAGAGAUUAAUCUGUUACCCAGUUUAAUCUGGUGUUGGGCCAGGUGCAGUCAUCUAUAAUGCACAGCCAGCACAUGCAGAGUGUGGAAAGGUUCUGGUUUAGGCUGCUUUAAGGGCUCCUUGUCAACUGUCAAGGGUUAUACUGUUUGCACACCCCGGCUGCAUCUCCCUUGCAGUCACUCCGAUCUGCUGGAGAAGAAACUGAACAAACCUCGGUGUGACGGUGGAUCUAUUUGAAAACGAAGUGGAUUCGGGGGUAUUUCAGGUUACCGGGAACCAGAGGACGGGAACGCCCCCUGCCCGCCUCCGCACGCUUCUGCCGGCUCUGGCGGGGGAGCAAGGGCUGGGGGUGCCCGCGGCUCGCUUGGGGUCCCUGGCCGCUCUGCGGCUCGGGCCGCUUCGGCGGUUGCGGCGGGCCCUGCUCCCUUCUCCAGCGUCCGCUGAACCGGCGCUGCCCGCCUAGGCCUUCUCCCGGGGCCGCGCCCCACGCGGCGCCACCAGGGCCACCGUCAUCGUCACCGCAGCGGCGGUCCCGCCGCGAGUCGGGCCGGGCCGGGCGGCGGAGGCGGAGCCACGCCUGGGGCGGGGCGGGGCGGUGGCGGUCGCUGCCCCAGCGCGGGGUGGGCGGACGGCGCGGUGCGGGGUGAUGGAGUCGCGGGCCCUCGUCGCCCGCGCCCUGGUUCGCAGGGCCCGCUG
This is a long non-coding RNA of Pyrgilauda ruficollis (rufous-necked snowfinch), 7527 nucleotides long. RefSeq lists it as uncharacterized. NCBI's taxonomy places the organism in Eukaryota, Metazoa, Chordata, Aves, Passeriformes, Passeridae. The transcript is spliced from 3 exons. The record is from RefSeq and is a predicted model, not a curated record.